This 67-nucleotide transfer RNA is filed under the name Bos taurus (domestic cattle). It matches the Rfam family "tRNA". From Rfam's summary of the family: Transfer RNA (tRNA) molecules are approximately 80 nucleotides in length. Lineage: Eukaryota; Metazoa; Chordata; Mammalia; Artiodactyla; Bovidae. RNAcentral also lists the same sequence under 5 other names. The record is from Rfam by way of RNAcentral.
UCCUGACUCAGACUGGAAGAAUCUGCCUGCAAUGCAGAAGACCCAGGUUCAAUCCCUGGGUUGGGAA